Molecule: non-coding RNA, 2077 nt
Organism: Oryctolagus cuniculus (rabbit)
Lineage: Eukaryota; Metazoa; Chordata; Mammalia; Lagomorpha; Leporidae
Source: RefSeq, a predicted model, not a curated record
CGGCGCAAUCAGCAACCACUGCACGUUCCUCCCCGCUCCCCUCCUGGAGGAGCCGAAACAAACAGGGCAAGCCUGCCCUGCUUUGAUUCCGAGCAGACUAGCAGGGUCAGCCCCUAUUCCCAGGCCCUUGGGGGUCCAAGUUCAAAGGGACAAACACGUGCCCUUGCUCCAGCUCUAUGGGUCCCAGCACCAAACCACAGCCCCCACCAGCCCUGGUGCUGCCCCUGCAGUUACUGUAGCAAGGCGAACCCUGUGCAGAGGCAAAGCCGGGGACUGGGAGCCUGUGGCCGUGGGCAGGCGAAGGCGUGUGUCGUCAUGGUGACCCAGGACUUCCAGAACCAUCUAGCCUCAAUGGGCCUCCUCUCUGGGGUUCCAGGGCUUUCUUUCAGUCUCUCCUGCAAGUCCUCUCUACAUGAUGGCAAUGUUUUCUCUCAAGGUCCCGCAAAGGCGCCACACUUGGGAGGCAGCGUAGAGUGGCACAGCUCUGCCACCACUUGGCAUCACCCCUGCAGCCUCAGCGCCCUUGUGGGUGAAGCAGAGAGAAUCGUGUGACCAUGUCGAAGAGUCUGCUCUCCGAGAGAUGAAUGGUCAUCAAUCCAAUGGCACUCCCGUUAACUCUGCAGAGUACCAGGCUCCUCCUACGUGUUUAUAACUCCUCCUCCCUCUACUGACUGUAUCUUGUUCCCUCCAUCUCUUCUAUUGAAAUUCCACCCACUAAUAAUAAUAAUAAUAAUAAUAAUAAUAAAAAUCCGGAUCAAAGGAAACUUCCUCCUCCACACCACACAGAAUUCCCUCCACCCUCUGUGCUCACUUUAUUGGCACAUACAGUAGAGCACUUAUCACAGUUUCCCCUAGGCUAUAGCUGUGUGUGGCCGUGUCUUAAGUCCCUGGAGACAGUGACUUCCAUCUUAUUCUAUAGAGCCACCCAAGCACCGAGUCUUCAACACAACAGGUGUUCAGUCGAUAUUUGCUAAAUAUAUGUUAAGUGAAGAAAUGAAUUAGAUUCCCUGAGAUAACCAUGGGGACUUGGCCAGAUUAAGUCUGAGGUCCGAGAGCCAAGAGCUCUCCAAGUGGAUUUGGACUCAGCCAAGGAGAUCGCAGGUGCUAUCAAUAAUGCUAAUGAGCAAUAAUAACAUUGAUUGAGUGCCUACUGUAUGCCCCGUGCUGUUCUAAACUAUCUACAGAGUAUGCUCUGGGAUCUUCACAACUGGCCCACGACAUUAGUUCUGCCUGCAUCUCUAGGUUCCAGCCAAGCCCUGGGAGGACUUGGGGCUUCCGUCCAAGAUCGAAGCUGGCCGGUGACGGGGGAGGGCAGCUGCAUCAGGCGAGCUGGCUCCCACAGCAGCAGGCCCAGAAGCAAGAAUUGGCUGAGAGUGUUGGCCUGUUGACCAGCCUGAUGAACAGAAACGAGGUUCGCAUUGGGGAAACGAAAGGAACACAAGAGGAGGGAACUGGCUUGGGACUUCUAGAGGCGAGCCACACUGACACGCGAGCGGGGUUACUUCUACGCUGCCAGGUUAGCCCACGGGGAUAGGGGAAGAGGGAGCCGUCCACCAGGAAGCCCCAGGCCCAUUGCACUUCCCCCUCUGCCUUCCCAGGCAGCCUCACGGCAGGCACUGUGCACCAGACAUAAAGAACACAGGGCCUGGAUCCAAACUCUGGUUGGGUUGGCUGUGAGGACGGUGGGCAAGCUAUUCAAGCACUUUGAGCUUUGGAUCUCUCGCUCAUAAAACAGGUAGAAAAAAACGGGAUGUACCUCCGAGGGUUUCGAUGGGCAUCAAAUGAAAUACAUGCAAGCAGCAGCUGGCACAGUGCCCAGCCACAAACCCACCAGUGUGGCUGAGCGACAACUCCCGGGUUCUUUGGUGGCCCCAACAGGGCAGAUACAGAAGAAGUUUGAGGUGCAGAGGGUUAGCCACUCGGCACGAAGCCUUUCAAAGAAAGGAACUCUACCGCACACAAGAUUUCCCAAUUGUUCACCUGCCAGCAAGGAAGGGCAAAGGCUGCCCAUGUGACCUAUCGUGCUGCAACCACUCCGUGGCAUGAAAAGCUUCCUUUGUGGGGUGUUAAGUGAUUU